UUCGGCGCCACCACCCUGCGGGU
RNAcentral lists this microRNA (23 nucleotides) under Bos taurus (domestic cattle). RNAcentral describes it as "bta-miR-11982". The record is from miRBase by way of RNAcentral. Lineage: Eukaryota; Metazoa; Chordata; Mammalia; Artiodactyla; Bovidae.